CUACGGAGGGUGCAAGCGUUACUCGGAAUCACUGGGCGUAAAGGAUGCGUAGGCGGAUAAUCAAGUCAAAAGUGAAAUCCCACGGCUUAACCGUGGAACUGCUUUCGAAACUGGUUAUCUAGAAUAUGGAAGAGGCAGAUGGAAUUAGUGGUGUAGAGGUAAAAUCCGUAGAGAUCACUAGGAAUACCGAUUGCGAAGGCGAUCUGCUGGGACAUUAUUGACGCUGAGGCAUGAAAGCGUGGGGAGCAAACAGGAUUAGAAACCCUAGUAGUCC
RNAcentral lists this ribosomal RNA (274 nucleotides) under uncultured bacterium. Its description in RNAcentral is "partial 16S ribosomal RNA". It matches the Rfam family "Bacterial small subunit ribosomal RNA", at positions 523 to 796 of the family's 1533-position model. The record is from RNAcentral.